Molecule: ribosomal RNA, 496 nt
Filed under: uncultured bacterium
Lineage: Bacteria
Description: partial 16S ribosomal RNA
Rfam family: Bacterial small subunit ribosomal RNA
Source: RNAcentral
GAUGAACGCUGGCGGCGUGCCUAAUACAUGCAAGUCGAGCGAACAGACGAGGAGCUUGCUCCUCUGACGUUAGCGGCGGACGGGUGAGUAACACGUGGAUAACCUACCUAUAAGACUGGGAUAACUUCGGGAAACCGGAGCUAAUACCGGAUAAUAUAUUGAACCGCAUGGUUCAAUAGUGAAAGACGGUUUUGCUGUCACUUAUAGAUGGAUCCGCGCCGCAUUAGCUAGUUGGUAAGGUAACGGCUUACCAAGGCAACGAUGCGUAGCCGACCUGAGAGGGUGAUCGGCCACACUGGAACUGAGACACGGUCCAGACUCCUACGGGAGGCAGCAGUAGGGAAUCUUCCGCAAUGGGCGAAAGCCUGACGGAGCAACGCCGCGUGAGUGAUGAAGGUCUUCGGAUCGUAAAACUCUGUUAUUAGGGAAGAACAAAUGUGUAAGUAACUAUGCACGUCUUGACGGUACCUAGUCAGAAAGCCACGGCUAACUACGU